AAUACGGGGCGCCGUUCGAUAUGUGCCGCCGUUACAUGCGGCGUUUUUAAGUUACCCUCUGGACCUUUAUUUGAAAGAAAACACCUGAUUUCAAAUAGGCCUCGUGGCUGAGGACUUCCGUUAACCUCUAGGGCCGUGAACCGUUACAAGACCGCGCGAAGAAGAUCCGGCUUUUAUAAGGAGUUGCACAAAGAAGGAGGCUACCUGGACUUGGGCAGUGCUGAAAUCAAUAAAUUGAAGAAUUUUCAUCUCGGAAUUGGAUCCAAUAGAGAUAGUCCUCAACGUACAACAGUUUGUUUAGUGACUGUUCUAAGUUCUGUUAGGAAUAAAUUUUUAGAAUAAAAAUAAAGUUAAAUGA
Molecule: long non-coding RNA, 358 nt
Organism: Crotalus tigris (Tiger rattlesnake)
Lineage: Eukaryota; Metazoa; Chordata; Lepidosauria; Squamata; Viperidae
Exons: 2
Source: RefSeq, a predicted model, not a curated record